Molecule: ribosomal RNA, 445 nt
Filed under: uncultured bacterium
Lineage: Bacteria
Description: partial 16S ribosomal RNA
Rfam family: Bacterial small subunit ribosomal RNA
Source: RNAcentral
GUGAGGAAUAUUGGUCAAUGGACGGAAGUCUGAACCAGCCAUGCCGCGUGCAGGAAUAAGGUCCUAUGGAUUGUAAACUGCUUUUAUUCGGGAAUAAACCUCUUUACGUGUAGGGAGCUGAAGGUACCGAAGGAAUAAGCACCGGCUAACUCCGUGUCAGCAGCCGCGGUAAUACGGAGGGUGCAAGCGUUAUCCGGAAUCAUUGGGUUUAAAGGGUCCGCAGGCGGGCUAUCAAGUCAGAGGUGAAAUCCCACAGCUUAACUGUGGAACUGCCUUUGAAACUGAUGGUCUUGAAUUAAGUGGGCGUUGGCGGAAUAUGACAUGUAGCGGUGAAAUGCAUAGAUAUGUCAUGGAACACCGAAAGCGAAGGCAGCUAACGAUACUUAUAUUGACGCUCAUGGACGAAAGCGUGGGUAGCAAACAGGAUUAGAAACCCUAGUAGUCC